This 728-nucleotide long non-coding RNA is filed under the name Nicotiana tabacum (common tobacco). Its description in RNAcentral is "long non-coding RNA (NTAB_LNC014999)". The record is from RNAcentral. Lineage: Eukaryota; Viridiplantae; Streptophyta; Magnoliopsida; Solanales; Solanaceae.
GCAAGAACGGUACAUGUGCUUGGCUUAGACCUGAUGGCAAAACCCAAGUGACCGUUGAGUACCAAAACGACAAUGGCGCGAUGGUUCCCCUACGUGUUCACACUGUUUUGAUCUCCACUCAACAUGACGAGACUGUUACAAACGAUGAAAUUGCUCGUGAUCUCAAAGAGCAUGUCAUCAAGCCCGUGAUCCCCGAGAAAUAUCUUGAUGAGAAGACCAUUUUCCACCUCAACCCUUCGGGCCGUUUUGUCAUUGGAGGACCCCACGGUGAUGCUGGUCUCACUGGCCGAAAGAUCAUCAUCGACACUUACGGAGGGUGGGGUGCUCAUGGAGGUGGUGCUUUCUCGGGGAAGGACCCUACCAAGGUUGACAGAAGUGGAGCCUAUAUUGUGAGGCAAGCAGCGAAGAGCAUUGUUGCCAAUGGUCUUGCUAGGAGGUGCAUUGUUCAGGUUUCGUACGCCAUUGGUGUGCCUGAACCUUUAUCUGUCUUUGUGGACACUUAUGGAACUGGGAAAAUCCCUGAUAAGGAAAUUCUCAACAUUGUGAAGGAGAACUUUGAUUUCAGGCCCGGGAUGAUUUCCAUUAACCUCGAUCUAUUGAGGGGUGGAAAUGGCCGAUUCUUGAAGACUGCUGCCUAUGGACAUUUUGGUAGAGAUGAUCCUGACUUCACAUGGGAAGUAGUCAAGCCUCUCAAGUGGGAAAAGCCACAAGCUUAAUUGGAAUAUAAU